GGUUUGACUUGGCUCAGAUUGAACGCUGGCGGGGAUGCUUUACACAUGCAAGUCGAACGGCAGCACGGACUUCGGUCUGGUGGCGAGUAUGAACGGUGAGUAAUGUAUCGGAACGUGCCUAGUAGCGGGGGAUAACUAGCGCGAAAGCGAGCUAAUACCGGCCAUCAACGCCGGGGAAAGCGGGGACUUUCGGGCCUUCGCACUACUAGAGCGGCCGAUAUCGAUUAAAGAAUGCGGGGUAACGGCUCACCAAGGCGACGAUCCGUAGCUAUUUGAGAGGAAUGACCAGCCACUGACUGAGACACGGCCCAGACUCCCAUGGAGGCAGGGGGAAUCGGAUAAUGGGGAAACUCCAUCCAGCCAUCCUGCCGUGCGAUGAAGGCCUCUCGCUGUAGCACUUUUGGCAGGAAAGAAACGGCACGGGAUAAUACCCGUGCAACUGACGGCAGGCCUUAAGAAUAAGCACCGGCUAACUAGAUGCGCCAGCAGCCGCGGCACAUGCAGGGUGCAAGCGUUAAUCGAAACUAUUGGGCGUAGCGUGCGCAGGCGGUUCGAAAAAAGAAAGAUGAAUCCCAGAGCUUAACUUUGGAACUGCAUUUUUAACUACCGAGCUUAGAGUGUGCUUCGAGGGAGGUGGAAUUCCGCGUGUAGCAGCAGAAAUGCGAUAUGCGGAGGAACACCGAUGGCGAAGGCAGCCUCCUGGGAGUACACUGGAUGUCAUGCACGAAAGCGUGGGGAGCAAACAGAUUGAUACUCCGGUAGUCCACUGCCCCAAACGAUGUCAACCAGCUGUUGGGGCCUCGGGCCUUUGUAGCGCAGCUAACGCGUGAAGUUGACCGCCUGGGGAGCACGGUCGCAAGAUUAAAACUCAAAGGAAUUGACGGGGACUCGCACAAGUGGGUGGAUGAUGUGGAUUAAUUCGAUGCACGCGAAAACUUACCUACCUUGACAGGUUCGAAUCCCGAAGAGAUUUGGAGGCCGCGGGAAGAGAACCGAACACAGGUGCUGCAUGGCUGUCGUCAGCUCGUGUCGGAGAUGUUGGGUUAAGUCCUGCAAUGAGCAACUCCUUGCCAUUGAAGGCAUGAAAGGGCACUCUAGACGAGAGAUCACACGGUGACAAACCGAGAAGGUGAUGACGUCAAGUCCCGGCGGCUCCUUGGCAGCAGGGGGCUUCGUUACGCCGGCACACGGUCGACAGAGGGUCACAACCCGGCGGAGAGGGGGAGCCAAUCCCAGAAACCCGAUCGUAGUCCGGAUCGCAGCCUGCAACCCGACUGCGUGAAGUCGGAAUCGCCAGGAAUCGUGACUGUGGCGCUGUCGCGGUGAAUACGUUCGGCCCGGCUGCGCCUGCCCGUCAACUUUGCGGGAGUGGUUUUACCAGAAGUAGUUAGCCCAAUCAGGCGAGGCGAUUACCACGGUGGCAGGAUUCAUGACUGGGGUGAAGUCGUAACAAGGUAACUCCA
RNAcentral lists this ribosomal RNA (1463 nucleotides) under uncultured Bordetella sp. Its description in RNAcentral is "partial 16S-23S ribosomal RNA intergenic spacer". It matches the Rfam family "Bacterial small subunit ribosomal RNA". The record is from RNAcentral. Lineage: Bacteria; Pseudomonadati; Pseudomonadota; Betaproteobacteria; Burkholderiales; Alcaligenaceae.